Penicillium italicum is the source of this 107-nucleotide transfer RNA. It matches the Rfam family "tRNA". Rfam says of the family: Transfer RNA (tRNA) molecules are approximately 80 nucleotides in length. The record is from Rfam. NCBI's taxonomy places the organism in Eukaryota, Fungi, Ascomycota, Eurotiomycetes, Eurotiales, Aspergillaceae.
GGGCGGCUGGCCUAAUGGUAAGGCGUCUGAUUUCGGUAAGACUGUUCGGUUAUAUGAACAUCUUCUAUAUCUCAGAAGACUUGCAGGUUCGAUCCCUGCGUCGCUCA